AGACCCGAAACCCGGUGAUCUAGCCAUGGGCAGGUUGAAGGUUGGGUAACACUAACUGGAGGACCGAACCGACUAAUGUUGAAAAAUUAGCGGAUGACCUGUGGCUGGGGGUGAAAGGCCAAUCAAACCGGGAGAUAGCUGGUUCUCCCCGAAAGCUAUUUAGGUAGCGCCUCGUGAAUUCAUCUCCGGGGGUAGAGCACUGUUUCGGCUAGGGGGCCAUCCCGGCUUACCAACCCGAUGCAAACUGCGAAUACCGGAGAAUGUUAUCACGGGAGACACACGGCGGGUGCUAACGUCCGUCGUGAAGAGGGAAACAACCCAGACCGCCAGCUAAGGUCCCAAAGUCAUGGUUAAGUGGGAAACGAUGUGGGAAGGCCCAGACAGCCAGGAUGUUGGCUUAGAAGCAGCCAUCAUUUAAAGAAAGCGUAAUAGCUCACUGGUCGAGUCGGCCUGCGCGGAAGAUGUAACGGGGCUAAACCAUGCACCGAAGCUGCGGCAGCGAACGUAUCACCCAAGACAACUUUACGGAGUUGACGAUUGACGGAGCGAAGCGACGUCAAAGCGUUCAUUAAAGUCGAGUUGGCUUAGGGAUACGUUCGUUGGGUAGGGGAGCGUUCUGUAAGCCUGUGAAGGUGUGUCGUGAGGCAUGCUGGAGGUAUCAGAAGUGCGAAUGCUGACAUAAGUAACGAUAAAGCGGGUGAAAAGCCCGCUCGCCGGAAGACCAAGGGUUCCUGUCCAACGUUAAUCGGGGCAGGGUGAGUCGACCCCUAAGGCGAGGCCGAAAGGCGUAGUCGAUGGGAAACGGGUUAAUAUUCCCGUACUUGGUGUUACUGCGAAGGGGGGACGGAGAAGGCUAUGUUGGCCGGGCGACGG
RNAcentral lists this ribosomal RNA (873 nucleotides) under Salmonella enterica. RNAcentral's name for it is "partial 23S ribosomal RNA". It matches the Rfam family "Bacterial large subunit ribosomal RNA", at positions 711 to 1501 of the family's 2925-position model. Lineage: Bacteria; Pseudomonadati; Pseudomonadota; Gammaproteobacteria; Enterobacterales; Enterobacteriaceae. RNAcentral also lists the same sequence under 2 other names. The record is from RNAcentral.